Molecule: long non-coding RNA, 564 nt
Organism: Prinia subflava (tawny-flanked prinia)
Lineage: Eukaryota; Metazoa; Chordata; Aves; Passeriformes; Cisticolidae
Exons: 3
Source: RefSeq, a predicted model, not a curated record
CUGUCUUCAGCUCUGUUUGAACCCUGAGGGCUCAGCAUUGUGUCUGAACAAAUAUUUUACAAUGACUAUUUUCUAAAACAAAUGGAUCUUUGAGUUGCCCGAAGUUAAUAUUGAAUUUAAGCUGAGUUAGAAGAGAGAACAGUGCUUGGAAAUGUGAAACAAGCCAACUCAGGCUACAAUCAUGAGCAGAUCAGUCAUGAUUUGCAAAAGCCACCUCUGGAGUCCCUGAAAGUCCCAGCCAGGCAUGGCUCCCAGAACUGUGAGCAGAACACAGACUGACAGAGUAGCCCUGUGUCCUGUUUGCACGCUGCUUUUCAAGACCUGAAGAUCUAUUUUGAUUCUUCCCAGAAGCCACAAAAGGAAUACUACACCAGACAUAACUUCAGUAUGUAGUGGCUAUUACUACCAAGGGUUUAUACCACAUUACCCUACAAUAUUUAAAUCAAGAUAAAGACCCUAGAUUUUAAGGCAUUACACACAGAAGUCAUUUAUAAACCUGAAAGUUUGAUAUCGACUGUUGUCAAUGCUCUACUCCAAAUAAUAUGUCCUUAGUCUGAAAAUAAA